Non-coding RNA from Pelobates cultripes (western spadefoot toad), 461 nucleotides. The record is from the annotation of a GenBank genome assembly. NCBI's taxonomy places the organism in Eukaryota, Metazoa, Chordata, Amphibia, Anura, Pelobatidae.
AUACAAUGCUUUUAUUUUGAUGCGUUACGGAUAAGUUUACAUAGAGUUAGGUUAUACAGCACAAGCGAGGACAUUAAACAGGGAUAUAUGGAUGCUAUACACCAUGUGCAUUACUUGUCUUUUCCUUGUCUAAAGUAGUAAGAUGAAUCACUGCCACGUCCCUGUCCAGCAUCCUGUCCACUACCUUGUCCUUGUUCUCCCAACCAACCUGCACGCCCACUGCUGCCAUCCUGUCCUUGUUGGUAGUUGUCACCCCCACUGCCGCCGUCCUGUCCCUGCUGUUGGCCACAGCCGCUUUGCUGGCCACUACCCUGAUUCUGUCCUUGUUGGUUGUUGUCACCCCCACUGCCGCGAUCCUGUCCCUGCUGUUGGCCAUAGCCGCUUUGCUGGCCACUACCCUGAUUCUGUCCUUGUUGAUAUCCGCUACCUUGUUGCCCACUACCCUGAUUCUGUCCUUGUUG